ACUCAAAUGAAUUGACGGGGGCCCGCACAAGCGGUGGAGCAUGUGGUUCAAUUCGAAGCAACGCGCAGAACCUUACCAGCCCUUGACAUGUCCCGUAUGGGUUUCAGAGAUGAGAUCCUUCAGUUCGGCUGGCGGGAACACAGGUGCUGCAUGGCUGUCGUCAGCUCGUGUCGUGAGAUGUUGGGUUAAGUCCCGCAACGAGCGCAACCCUCGCCCUUAGUUGCCACCAUUUAGUUGGGCACUCUAAGGGGACUGCCGGUGAUAAGCCGCGAGGAAGGUGGGGAUGACGUCAAGUCCUCAUGGCCCUUACGGGCUGGGCUACACACGUGCUACAAUGGCGGUGACAGUGGGAUGCAAUGGAGCAAUCCUGCGCAAAUCUCAAAAAGCCGUCUCAGUUCGGAUUGGGGUCUGCAACUCGACCCCAUGAAGUCGGAAUCGCUAGUAAUCGCAGAUCAGCACGCUGCGGUGAAUACGUUCCCGGGCCUUGUACACACCGCCCGU
Molecule: ribosomal RNA, 501 nt
Filed under: uncultured bacterium
Lineage: Bacteria
Description: partial 16S ribosomal RNA
Rfam family: Bacterial small subunit ribosomal RNA
Source: RNAcentral